GUUGCCUCAAGACCUGAAAAUGAAUGAGCAUCAUCCCUUAAAGUGUUAACACGGAAGCAUUAAUACCAAGAACAAUGAGAUAAAUCCUGUUUGCACAUCAUUUCCACUGCGUCACUCUUCCUUGUCUACAUUCUGAAGAAAUCGCACUGAAAACAUGUCUAAAUAUUCAUACUCUUUUUGAGCUUAAAUUUCAGUGGCCAAUUUCAUACUAUAUUGGAAAGUUUUGUCUAAUAAGAGCCUGAGCUGUGUAUCCUGUAUAGAUUUUCGCCAGCAGAGGGUAUUGUCCUGAGUGCCAGCAUUUUGGGGGAUGGUGAACUGUAUCAGCUGAGGAGCUAUAGUCUAUCAGUUAGGAGCAUUAUUCCUUUGUCUUGGAUAUACUUAUGUUCAAAAGCAAUUUCUUCUCCCUCAAGAACUCAUUAAAUGUAUUCACCAAA
RNAcentral lists this non-coding RNA (434 nucleotides) under Pan troglodytes (chimpanzee). The record is from RNAcentral. Lineage: Eukaryota; Metazoa; Chordata; Mammalia; Primates; Hominidae.